This 1670-nucleotide long non-coding RNA is filed under the name Homo sapiens (human). Its description in RNAcentral is "non-protein coding lnc-LRRC37A-1:1". Lineage: Eukaryota; Metazoa; Chordata; Mammalia; Primates; Hominidae. The record is from RNAcentral.
UUUCAACUAGUACUGUACCAUGUGGGAGUUCAAAAUCCUAUAAGGUAAUAACAGAGUCUCAAAGCUUAUACCCAAAUUAGUGUUUUUCUAACCUAUAAUAAAGCACCAUUUCAAACACUGAUAAAGUCCAAACAAGUCAAGCUAGUUUAAUCUCAUUAAUUUCUAUGUUACAUAUUGAAGAAUCAAAUCUACCAUUAAACCACAUUUUCCCCAAUGUGUCUCAAACAUUCACUAUGAAGCAAGAUAAAUUUUGAAGGGUAGGUAAAAAGGGAAAAAGAGAAAAAAAAAUGAAAAGGAAUUUGUAAUGUAAGUGUAUAACAAAUGUAGAAAAAAUCUGCUUUUUAUUUUAAAGUAAAUAAGUAACCAGUCAGAGCAAUUUGGCUUCCUAAAUUAUUAAAUGUGAUGCUCUUAUUAGAACUCACUGUGACUGCAGGUGUUCUGCAGAUACAGUACAAUUCCUCACUGCUGCCCUCUUGUGCCCAUUUACAAUCAUUACAGAUGUACACAUCCAUUUUCUUAGCCUCCUUUUCUGCGAUGCCAACACAUUCUCCAUAAUAGCAGUUAGUACAAAGAUCACAGCCAAUAUAGAACCUAGAAGUAUUCACAACGAAAAUGACAAUGUAAUUGUCGUUUUGAGCUGCAUGGUACUUAAAUCUGUCUUCCCUGCCUUGCUUCAUUUUUUUACAGGAUAACUUCCUGCUAUGAGUCAGCUAAACAUUCCUGAAUCCAACCAUUCUACCCCUGGCAAACUCCAGUAUCUGAUGCUCUAUCACAUGUGCAAACAAAGUCACUCACAUGGGUUUCAACAAGUACACUGCUUAGUGAAAUAUGGGUCUUUAAAAACAUACUGGAAUUUGAAAAAAUAAACCACACACUGAUGGUAAUGUCUUCCUCUGAAUGAAUGUGUGCAAAACUGUAACAGGCACAAAAACCAAAGCCAAAGAAUCAAAGACUUACACCUGUCAAACCUAUUCCACAGAAGCCAUUUCAAUAUCAGGGCUAUUUCUUAGAUAGGUUUAAAAAUGUAUCUCACAAUUUAAAUUUGAAAACAAAGCAAAGCGCAAACACCAAGUAGAAGUUACACUACAAGGACCAUGCAGGUCAGCCAGGUGUAGAAGAUAAACGGUCAAAAUAUGCUAAGAAGAAGAAAACUAAGAAAGGUACAUAGAGCAAUUCAAUCUCUACCAGGUUUUCUGAAUAAACAUUGGAAUUUAAUCGAAUUAAAAAUAAUUUCUCAUAAUGGAAUAUGGCAUGGGCCACUUUUUCAGUUAAUAUAAUGUUUGUGACAAUGUGGGCAGUGGCCUGGCUAGUUAACGGGUAGGGAACGUGGAAGGAGCUGCUUCAGUUCAACAUCGGGGACAUGGUAUGGGGAAGGAUGCAAAGAUAGUUAUCCAGAAUCUGUCUACACUGCUUGGCAGGGUCUACACUGCUUGGCAAGGCGGAGCUGUGUAAGUGUGUGAUUGUGGAGUGCACAGUGGCCUCUGUAAUAAAAGACGUAAUGACAAAAGAAAAAGUAAAUGUAACAAACGCUUAUACAGUGUGUCUACAAGUGUUGAUAGGCACAGUGUAGGAACAUCAUGUCAAAGUCAUAGUGAGAAUUACCAUGAAUCACAGGGAAGCAGGCUGGCUUUGCCGAUACCAUUGGCACUCCUAGCUCUACCAAGGCAUUU